RNAcentral lists this ribosomal RNA (241 nucleotides) under uncultured bacterium. RNAcentral's name for it is "partial 16S ribosomal RNA". It matches the Rfam family "Bacterial small subunit ribosomal RNA", at positions 118 to 352 of the family's 1533-position model. The record is from RNAcentral.
UGAGGAACAUGACCUUCGGCGGGGGAUAGCCGGCCCAACGGCCGGGUAAUACCGCGUACGCCCUUCGAGCGGCAUCGCUUGAUGGGGAAAGUCGCAAGACGCCGAUGGAGAACUUCGCGGCCUAUCAGCUAGUUGGUGAGGUAACGGCUCACCAAGGCAACGGACGGGUAGCUGGUCUGAGAGGAUGGCCAGCCACAUUGGGACUGAGACACGGCCCAGACCUCCGUACGGGGAGGCAGCG